AGCAUGAAGAAAUAAAUUUUUUUAAUUUUUUUCAAUGGCUUUCAUUGUGAUCAUCUGGAUCUGAAGAAAUAAUGACGAAAAAAAAAUAAAUAAACAAACUUAUAAAAAUAGUUAAACAAAAACAAUAACAACUGCAUAGAAGAAAACGACAGUUGUGUAAAGAAAGACUCAUGUGGCAAAAGCAUGAAUGAACCUGCCUCAUGAGUUGAUUUAAAACAUUUAGAGUGGGGAUUUAAUUCUUGAACGAACGGUUGGUGUACGAGGAAAGGAAAAUGAAGGGAAGACACCAGUCGGAGGGAGAGUAAACGGAAAUACCCGAAGAACUUCGGGAGAGGACGUUCGUUGAAGGAGAGAUAGAUGAAGAAUAGUAAUGUUGAUAAUUGAUACGAGAGAGAUAGUGAACUGCGACCGCUUGACCUUCAUGCGGCCACGCAACUGAAUGAACGCCUAGCCGGUUGAGUGACGCAAUGAUACCAGUGUCGAGGGAGAGACUGAGAUAGAUUAUAAAUCAAAUUAAAAGGAGACAGUAAUAAAAUAAAUGUAUAUACUAGUUAAACUGCUGUGCAAGCCAGCAGUUGGCUGAGAUACCAAUAAAAUGAUAUUUUUAUAAAAAACAAUUAAAUUUAUUGAGCCGGUUUAGAGAAAACAUGUCGAAUUAUUCAGGACAGAAUCAUUGUUGAGUAAUCUUGCGAUCCAAUUGAAGAAUAUUAUGCAAAUGUCUAUCAAUUAUCAUGUUAAGACACAUUUGUUUAUCUUCUAUAGACUAUAGACUAGAGACAAGAUUUUUAUUAAGUAUUGUAUGGUUAGUAACAAUAGAGAGAAUAACUGAAGAAAAUAGCUAUUGUCAUCAGGAUUGGAUUCAUUGGAUAUAAUAUGAAUUGCUUAUUGUCCUCAAAAUUGUACUGGUGCUACUUUGAUCCUAGUUUUCUCUACCUGACUACCAGUUUGUCCUUUUGGAGAUGAAGAAAGGAAAUAUGGACCCGAAAAAGGCAUUUAAAUUUGUGAAUUUUUGUAUUGUAGCAUUUUUAACGGGAAGUUUUCUUCACACGAUAUUUGUACUUUAGGUAGGAAAAAGUAGACUAAAGCAUAAUCUUUGGCACAAAAAUAAAAAAUGGAGUACUUUGGCUGCAAAACAACCUAAAAUUGAAAGCAAAAUAAAAACGAUGAUAAACCGAGGCCAAUUGGUAAAGUGCCUAACGUGUGUUACUUUUGGUAGCACGCUCGCCAGGGUUUGACUUCCAACAUAUAAUAAUGUUAAUGCUAAUGCUAAUACUGAUGCUUACACAAAUACUCAUACUAAUUCCUAUCUUAAAAAUAAAAUCUGGGCACGACCGAGGGAAGAGGUCGUUAAUACCGCACUCGACUGUAUCGACACGGACAAUGCACACCGCUUUGUUCGAUCCGAACAGAACAGAACCCCUCGAAAUAAAAUUUUUA
Long non-coding RNA from Cotesia glomerata, 1437 nucleotides. RefSeq lists it as uncharacterized. NCBI's taxonomy places the organism in Eukaryota, Metazoa, Arthropoda, Insecta, Hymenoptera, Braconidae. The record is from RefSeq and is a predicted model, not a curated record. The transcript has 3 exons.